This 86-nucleotide transfer RNA is filed under the name Bacillota bacterium. RNAcentral describes it as "tRNA-Leu". It matches the Rfam family "tRNA". Rfam says of the family: Transfer RNA (tRNA) molecules are approximately 80 nucleotides in length. Their secondary structure includes four short double-helical elements and three loops (D, anti-codon, and T loops). Lineage: Bacteria; Bacillati; Bacillota. RNAcentral also lists the same sequence under 13 other names. The record is from RNAcentral.
GCCGGUGUGAUGGAAUGGUAGACGUAGCGGAUUCAAAAUCCGCCGGGGGCGACUCCGUGUGGGUUCGAGUCCCACCACCGGCACCA